This 1841-nucleotide long non-coding RNA is filed under the name Mytilus galloprovincialis (Mediterranean mussel). The record is from RNAcentral. Lineage: Eukaryota; Metazoa; Mollusca; Bivalvia; Mytilida; Mytilidae.
CUUGUUUUUUUCAAUAACACAUACUGAAAUAUGUCCAUGAAGUAUCAGUAACAAAUCAAACUACAAACUAGUGAAGUUUUUACAUGAAGGCUUUUCCGAAAUAUGCUGAAAAUAUGUUAUGCCUUCUGAACUCGAAUUCGUUAAAUAAUUCGGCAUUGAAAACUGACAACUUUGCACUAAAAGGAGGGAUACCAAAAAGCAUACCAUAGUGAUUCAGUAAUGAUAAGACUUCCGAUAAACUUUUAAAAAAAUAAUGAAACAAAGAUAGCAGCCUUUUCAUUGAAAAUUUUAGUUUUAAUUAGAUGAAAUUGGUUCUACUUUUCAUGUCCCGUUUGGUUAUAAGCUCCGGACGUUUUGUAGUUAUUUAUAUAUUAUUGUCUUUCAAAUGAUUUGGGUUUAGUGUUCUAAAUGGAGGUUAAACCAUAAAAGGGUUAUGGACGCACGAAAUUCAUCCAAGAGUUUUCAUGAUUAAUCUUCAACAGGAACGCUGAAUCCCAAAUAUUUAAAAUUCUGGAAAGCAAAAAUACGUAAAAAACUGAUGGAACGUUAUAACCAACAGUUAACUUGAAAUCAUAUCGAAAUUAAUCCAACCAGGUAAACUUGGCAGAAAAACCUCAGUUUCUUAGUAAUUUCUUAAAAUAUAAACUGGGAAAGUUACAAAAAAAGGUAAGAUCCCCUACGUUUACAUUUGAUAGGAGACAGAUAACAGAAUACCUCUACAACAGAUUUACCAGGAUAUAAGUUCUUGAUCUUAAAGAAAAUUCACACAAGUAGUUUUAAACAAAUACAUAAAUCAAAUACCAUACAAAAAGCAGUCCGAUAAAAAGCCGUAGUGAAAACAAUUGAAUGUCAUGAAGAGGUAAAGAAGCAACCUAAGUCUUCAACCCAGAUAUUCAAAGAAAACCCGUAAAUCUCUACAUGUACAUGGUAUUAAAUUUUGUUUUAAAUUCAAUUAUAAAUAUAUGGAUAUCAGUAUCUUCAUGAGAAAUCUGUAUUGUAAUUCGGGGUAAGGUCAAACACAGUUCUUGAUAAGGUAUAAAAUUGAAAUGUCAUAAUUUCUAAUAUCCUUGUACUACGAAUCGACACAUGGGUAAUUAUUGUAACCUUGAUAGUUUAAUAUGUGAUAUCCUCGAUACUUCUUUAACCAUUAUCCAAAAUAAUAUCACACAUUGGAAUAUUAAAUCAAAUUAUAGCUAUAUAGACAAUUUGUAUGAUCGUUUAAAUUUCAAAUUAUUAUCAAGAUAAAUUUCACGAAAUAGUGGUAAAUAAGCGAAGGAUAUGCAUGCAAGUGGUUCUGUUCUGUUUGUUUGUUUCUAUGCUGCCUUUGCAUUUAUUUUUGGGAGAAUUCUUGUAUUAGCUUUUAUUAGCAUAGAUGUUUUCAUAUGUCGUUUUGCAUUGAUUAGUUGAUUGAUUGGUGUUUAACGCAACUAUCAGCACCAGUGUGCCAUUUUGUUACGGCUAGUUAUUAUUGAGAGAGAAAGCUGGGAGCUCGGAGAGAACCAUCGACCUUCGGUUGGAAAACAAACCAUUCCAAUUAAAUAAUGAUAGGAAUUAAGCGCACCUGGCACGUACGGGAUUGGAUCUCACAACCUUAAUGUUGACAGACUAGGGAACAGUAGUUCGACAACUUAUGACUACUUGGCUUCCAAGGCACCCCGUUGUUUAGCAACUGUUAAUUAGAAACGACAGGAACAACAGCAUCUCCGUAUAUUCUGAUCGUGUUAAAUAAAAUAUUUAACAAGAUAAAGUAUCAGUGUUAGGUUUGGGAAAAUGAAAACGAAUAUAUAGUUUAUGAAAGUCGAUCAAUAAACUUCUAAAUGCAGUAAAGUUAAGUAUAAUAG